GAUGAACGCUGGCGGCGUGCCUAAUACAUGCAAGUAGAACGCUGAAGGAAGGAGCUUGCUCUUUCCGGAUGAGUUGCGAACGGGUGAGUAACGCGUAGGUAACCUGCCUGGUAGCGGGGGAUAACUAUGGGAAACGAUAGCUAAUACCGCAUAACAGUAGAUAUUGCAUGAUAUCUACUUAAAAGGUGCAAUUGCACCACUACCAGAUGGACCUGCGUUGUAUUAGCUAGUUGGUGAGGUAACGGCUCACCAAGGCGACGAUACAUAGCCGACCUGAGAGGGUGAUCGGCCACACUGGGACUGAGACACGGCCCAGACUCCUACGGGAGGCAGCAGUAGGGAAUCUUCGGCAAUGGAGGGAAGUCUGACCGAGCAACGCCGCGGGAGUGAAGAAGGGUUUCGGAUCGUAAAGCUCUGUUGUAAGAGAAGAACGAGUGUGGGAGUGGAAAGUUCACACUGUGACGGUAUCUUACCAGAAAGGGACGGCUAACUACGUG
This 497-nucleotide ribosomal RNA is filed under the name uncultured bacterium. RNAcentral's name for it is "partial 16S ribosomal RNA". It matches the Rfam family "Bacterial small subunit ribosomal RNA", at positions 28 to 507 of the family's 1533-position model. The record is from RNAcentral.